CCAGCUACCGCGGUCACACGAUUAGCCCUAGCUAAUAGAGAUCGGCGUAGAGGGUGUUUAAGAUCUAACACAAUAAAGCUAAACUCCAUCUAAACUGUAAAACCCUAGCUAAUGUAAAAUAAACUACGAAAGUGGCUUUAAAACUUCUGAACACACAAUAGCCAAGACCCAAACUGGGAUUAGACACCCUACUAUGCUUGGCCCUAAACCUCAGUAGUUAAAUAACAAAACUACUCGCCAGAAUACUACAAGCAACAGCUUAAAACUCAAAGGACUUGACGGUGCUUUACACCCCCUAGAGGAGCCUGUUCCGUAAUCGAUAAACCCCGAUCCACCCCACCCUCUCUUGCUCAGCCUAUAUACCGCCAUCUUCAGCAAACCCUGAUAAAGGCCACAAAGUGAGCGCAAACGCCACCACCGCGAAGACGUUAGGUC
RNAcentral lists this ribosomal RNA (435 nucleotides) under Macaca assamensis (Assam macaque). RNAcentral's name for it is "partial 12S ribosomal RNA". It matches the Rfam family "Bacterial small subunit ribosomal RNA", at positions 508 to 1191 of the family's 1533-position model. The record is from RNAcentral. Lineage: Eukaryota; Metazoa; Chordata; Mammalia; Primates; Cercopithecidae.